AUCUUGGAGCAGUUUGAUAAAUUGAAUGCCAAGCCCAGGCACUCUCAUUUGAUCCAGCGUAUUAUACCCGAGAUUCGGAAUUACUUUUCCAAAGCACUUGCCAAACCUAACCCACAUAACUUGCGGCUGUAGAUUGCUGGUAUUUGAUUCUUGGUGUCUGACUAGAUAACGUUGUACAGAGAGUGGUAGAUCUUCUCAUUGAUGUCCAGCCAUUUGAAAGUCCUAAUAGGUUGGUUAACUUCCCUGGUGCCAGAGUGCUACUGCUUGCGUAUGGACUGUAACAUUGUUUCCAUUUUAUUGGAUGUCGUCGAUGGGCUAUGUUCUUCACCAACAUUACUGUUGUUGCCAUGUAUUGUUAUGCAUUUUACAACUCUUUUAGUGAGUUGGCAUUUGGUGAGAGAGCAAUAGUUGAUUUCCUGAAAUUCUGAAUUUCAGGUCUAUAAUCUAAUAUCUUUCUCAAGGACUCGGGUGCUUUAAUGUAU
Molecule: unclassified non-coding RNA, 482 nt
Filed under: Hevea brasiliensis (rubber tree)
Lineage: Eukaryota; Viridiplantae; Streptophyta; Magnoliopsida; Malpighiales; Euphorbiaceae
Source: RNAcentral